This 501-nucleotide non-coding RNA is filed under the name uncultured Glomus. RNAcentral's name for it is "SSU rRNA". It matches the Rfam family "Eukaryotic small subunit ribosomal RNA", at positions 569 to 1074 of the family's 1831-position model. RNAcentral also lists the same sequence under 1 other name. The record is from RNAcentral. Lineage: Eukaryota; Fungi; Glomeromycota; Glomeromycetes; Glomerales; Glomeraceae.
AGCAGCCGCGGUAAUUCCAGCUCCAAUAGCGUAUAUUAAAGUUGUUGCAGUUAAAAAGCUCGUAGUUGAAUUUCGAGAUCAAAUUGUUGGUCGUGCCUUGGUACGCACUGGCAUUAUUGGUUUCUCCCUUCUGACGAACCAUGAUGUCAUUAAUUUGGUGUCUUGGGGAAUCAGGACUGUUACUUUGAAAAAUUAGAGUGUUUAAAGCAGGCUCACGCUUGAAUACAUUAGCAUGGAAUAAUGAAAUAGGACGUUUGAUUCUAUUUUGUUGGUUUCUAGGAUCGACGUAAUGAUUAAUAGGGAUAGUUGGGGGCAUUAGUAUUCAAUUGUCAGAGGUGAAAUUCUUGGAUUUAUUGAAGACUAACUACUGCGAAAGCAUUUGCCAAGGAUGUUUUCAUUAAUCAAGAACGAAAGUUAGGGGAUCGAAGACGAUCAGAUACCGUCGUAGUCUUAACCAUAAACUAUGCCGACUAGGGAUCGGAUGAUGUUAAUUUUUAAUGA